This 146-nucleotide unclassified non-coding RNA is filed under the name soil metagenome. RNAcentral's name for it is "partial internal transcribed spacer 1". The record is from RNAcentral.
UAAUAAGUGUUUUAUGGCACUUUUUAAAUCCAUAUCCACCUUGUGUGCAAUGUCAGUCGAUCUUCUUCAUGGAGAUCGACCAAACAUCAACCUUUAUCUAUUUAACUCUUUGUCUGAAAAAUAUUAUGAAUAAACAAUUCAAAAUA